CAAUAGCGUAUAUUAAAGUUGUUGCGGUUAAAAAGCUUGUAGUUGGAUUUCUGCUGAGAACGACCGGUCCGCCCUUUGGGUGUGUAUCUGGCUCUUUCUUGGCAUCUUCUUGGUGAACGUUGCUGCACUUGACUGUGUGGAGCGCUACCCAGGACUUUUACUUUGAGGAAAUUAGAGUGUUUCAAGCAGGCAUACGCCUUGAAUACAUUAGCAUGGAAUAAUAAGAUAGGACCUCGGUUCUAUUUUGUUGGUUUCUAGAGCUGAGGUAAUGAUUAAUAGGGAUAGUUGGGGGCAUUCGUAUUUAACUGUCAGAGGUGAAAUUCUUGGAUUUGUUAAAGAUGGACUACUGCGAAAGCAUUUGCCAAGGAUGUUUUCAUUGA
This 380-nucleotide ribosomal RNA is filed under the name uncultured eukaryote. RNAcentral describes it as "partial 18S ribosomal RNA". It matches the Rfam family "Eukaryotic small subunit ribosomal RNA", at positions 592 to 976 of the family's 1831-position model. The record is from RNAcentral.